Molecule: ribosomal RNA, 110 nt
Filed under: Planctomycetota bacterium
Lineage: Bacteria; Pseudomonadati; Planctomycetota
Source: RNAcentral
UCCGGUGACUUUACCAGGCAGGUCACACGCGUUCCCAUUCCGAACACGACCGUUAAGCUGCCUGGGCCGAUGAUAGUGCCGCAAGGUGCGAAAGUAGGUCAUUGCCGGAU